Molecule: ribosomal RNA, 393 nt
Filed under: uncultured bacterium
Lineage: Bacteria
Description: bacterial SSU rRNA
Rfam family: Bacterial small subunit ribosomal RNA
Source: RNAcentral
UAAUACGAAGGGUGCAAGCGUUAUCCGGAUUCAUUGGGUUUAAAGGGUGCGUAGGCGGGGCAGAAAGUCAGCGGUGAAAUCCUGCAGCUUAACUGUAGAAUUGCCGUUGAUACUGCUGCUCUUGAGUACGCUUGACGUGGGCGGAAUGUGCCGUGUAGCGGUGAAAUGCUUAGAUAUGGCACAGAACACCGAUAGUGAAGACAGCUCACGAAGGCGAAACUGACGCUGAGGCACGAAAGCGUGGGGAUCGAACAGGAUUAGAUACCCUGGUAGUCCACGCCGUAAACGAUGAUCACUCGAGGUUGGCGAUAUACGGUCGGCCUCCUAGCGAAAGCGUUAAGUGAUCCACCUGGGGAGUACGAUCGCAAGAUUGAAACUCAAAGGAAUUGACGG